Molecule: ribosomal RNA, 386 nt
Filed under: uncultured bacterium
Lineage: Bacteria
Description: bacterial SSU rRNA
Rfam family: Bacterial small subunit ribosomal RNA
Source: RNAcentral
AUUGAACGCUGGCGGCAUGCUUUACACAUGCAAGUCGAACGGCAGCACGGGGGCAACCCUGGUGGCGAGUGGCGAACGGGUGAGUAAUAUAUCGGAACGUACCCGGAAAUGGGGGAUAACGUAGCGAAAGUUACGCUAAUACCGCAUAUGCCCUAAGGGGGAAGCGGGGAUUCGCAAGAACCUCGCGUUUUCGGAGCGGCCGAUAUCGGAUUAGCUAGUAGGUGAGGUAAAGGCUCACCUAGGCGACGAUCCGUAGCUGGUCUGAGAGGACGACCAGCCACACUGGAACUGAGACACGGUCCAGACUCCUACGGGAGGCAGCAGUGGGAAUUUUGGACAAUGGGCGCAAGCCGUGAUCCAGCCAUGCCGCGUGAGUGAAGAAGGCC